GGCCCGUUGGUCAAGCGGUUAAGACACGGCCCUUUCACGGCGGUAACAUGGGUUCGAGUCCCGUACGGGUCA
This 72-nucleotide transfer RNA is filed under the name Firmicutes bacterium CAG:110. It matches the Rfam family "tRNA". From Rfam's summary of the family: Transfer RNA (tRNA) molecules are approximately 80 nucleotides in length. Their secondary structure includes four short double-helical elements and three loops (D, anti-codon, and T loops). Lineage: Bacteria; Bacillati; Bacillota. The record is from Rfam by way of RNAcentral.